GCGCAGCCGCAAAAGGAGCGGACGGGUCUGCGCCGCCGCAGGAGGAGCAGGCGGUACCUGGACGGGUUCGUCCCGGGCUGUUUCGCGUCCGGCCUGAGGCGGCUGGGGCCGCGCAGGUAGUGUCCCUGCACUUCUUGCCCGGGCGCGUGAGGCCAGCUCCGCUGCGCUGGCCUCCAGUUUCCAGCCCUCCUCCCCUAAGCCGCCGCCAUCAUGCUGCUGCCUGUGUUCACCCUGAAACUGCGCCACAAAAUCAGCCCCCGAAUGGUGGCCAUAGGGCGCUACGACGGGACUCACCCGUGCCUGGCGGCCGCCACCCAAACGGGCAAGGUUUUUAUUCAUAAUCCUCAUACACGGAACCAGCAUGUCAGUGCAUCCAGGGUCUUCCAGAGCCCCCUGGAAUCUGAUGUUUCUCUUCUCAACAUUAACCAGGCAGUCAGCUGUCUGACUGCAGGCGUAUUGAACCCUGAGCUUGGCUAUGAUGCCCUUUUAGUGGGGACACAGACUAAUCUUUUGGCUUAUGAUGUCUACAAUAAUUCGGAUUUGUUCUACAGAGAGGCAACAGAUGGGGCAAAUGCAAUUGUGCUGGGGACAUUGGGAGACAUUUCUUCCCCUCUUGCGAUUAUUGGUGGCAAUUGUGCUCUGCAAGGUUUCAAUCAUGAAGGAAGUGAUCUCUUUUGGACGGUUACUGGAGACAAUGUUAAUUCCUUGGCCUUGUGUGACUUUGAUGGUGAUGGAAAGAAAGAGCUUCUUGUUGGAUCUGAGGAUUUUGAUAUCCGAGUUUUUAAGGAAGAUGAGAUUGUGGCAGAAAUGACAGAAACAGAGAUAGUCACCUCUCUUUGUCCCAUGUAUGGCAGUCGGUUUGGUUAUGCCCUUUCCAAUGGCACAGUUGGAGUUUAUGACAAAACAUCCCGAUACUGGAGAAUUAAAUCGAAAAAUCAUGCCAUGAGCAUUCAUGCUUUUGACCUUAAUUCUGAUGGAGUGAAUGAACUGAUAACUGGUUGGUCCAAUGGGAAGGUUGAUGCUCGAAGUGACCGAACUGGGGAGGUCAUCUUUAAGGACAAUUUUUCUUCUGCAAUUGCCGGUGUGGUAGAGGGAGAUUACCGGAUGGAUGGCCACAUACAGUUAAUCUGCUGCUCAGUGGAUGGGGAAAUCCGGGGCUACCUGCCUGGCACGGCUGAGAUGAGGGGGAACCUCAUGGACACCAGUGCAGAGCAGGACCUGAUCCGAGAGCUGAGUCAGAAGAAGCAGAAUCUGUUGCUGGAACUCCGUAACUAUGAGGAAAACACCAAGGCUGAAUUGGCCAGUCCACUGAACGAGGCUGAUGGGCAUCGGGGCAUAAUCCCAGCCAAUACCAGGCUCCACACCACGCUCUCAGUCAGCCUGGGGAAUGAGACCCAAACUGCUCAUACAGAAUUACGCAUUUCCACUUCUAAUGACACCAUCAUCCGAGCAGUAUUGAUUUUUGCAGAGGGAAUUUUUACAGGUGAAAGCCACGUGGUACAUCCCAGCAUUCACAACCUCUCCAGUUCCAUCUGCAUCCCUAUUGUGCCUCCCAAAGAUGUCCCUGUGGAUCUGCACUUGAAGGCAUUCGUGGGUUACAGAAGCAGCACCCAGUUUCAUGUAUUUGAAUUGACAAGACAGCUCCCUCGAUUCUCCAUGUAUGCGCUGACCAGCCUGGACCCUGCCAGUGAGCCAAUCAGUUAUGUUAACUUUACCAUUGCAGAACGGGCACAGAGGGUUGUCGUAUGGCUCGGUCAGAACUUUCUGUUACCAGAAGACACUCACAUUCAGAACGCUUCAUUUCAAGUGUGUUUCACAUCUUUACGGAAUGGUGGCCACCUGCAUAUAAAAAUAAAACUUAGUGGAGAGAUCACUAUAAAUACUGAUGAUAUUGAUUUGGCUGGUGAUAUCAUCCAGUCAAUGGCAUCAUUUUUUGCUAUUGAAGACCUUCAAGUAGAAGCGGAUUUUCCUGUCUAUUUUGAGGAAUUACGAAAGGUGCUAGUUAAGGUGGAUGAAUAUCAUUCAGUGCAUCAGAAGCUCAGUGCUGAUAUGGCUGAUCAUUCUAAUUUGAUCCGAAGUUUGCUGGUCGGAGCUGAGGAUGCUCGUCUGAUGAGGGACAUGAAAACAAUGAAGAGUCGUUAUAUGGAACUCUAUGACCUUAAUAGAGACUUGCUAAAUGGAUAUAAAAUUCGCUGUAACAAUCACACAGAGCUGUUGGGAAACCUCAAAGCAGUAAAUCAAGCAAUUCAAAGAGCAGGUCGUCUGCGGGUUGGAAAACCAAAGAACCAGGUGAUCACUGCUUGUCGGGAUGCAAUUCGAAGCAAUAACAUCAACACACUGUUCAAAAUCAUGCGAGUGGGGACAGCUUCUUCCUAGGAGAGGAAAAUACAGGUCAUGAAGUUCCUGGCAAAGAUUUUCUGUUAAAAACCUAUGCUGGUUUGCUUUGGAUCACACCCUGGUGAACCCUGGGUGCUAAGAACGAAAAUAACCUUGGAGGAUUAUGGCUAGUCCCUUCUUCAGUGAUAUCAGCGGUUUCUGCCUCUUUUUUAUCAUUCAUCUCAUCUUCUUCCGAAGGGGCCAAGAAAUGAAGCUUCAGGCCUGUGAAGUUGGAGAGCAGCAAGAAUAGUGCCUCAGAGCGAAAUAACUUCAUGCACUCCUUCAAUAUCUCAGGAAGCGUACUCUCCUCAGCUUUCUCAUAAAACCUGAAAAACAGCAACGUCAAGUUGUUCAUCAAAGCCACAGAUGUAAAAUGACUCAUAGAAUAAAAGCUGAUCAUUAGCUUUG
Pan troglodytes (chimpanzee) is the source of this 2784-nucleotide RNA transcript. It is a transcript of the gene named Bardet-Biedl syndrome 2, with no coding region annotated. The transcript is spliced from 18 exons. NCBI's taxonomy places the organism in Eukaryota, Metazoa, Chordata, Mammalia, Primates, Hominidae. The record is from RefSeq and is a predicted model, not a curated record.